RNAcentral lists this ribosomal RNA (433 nucleotides) under uncultured bacterium. RNAcentral's name for it is "partial 16S ribosomal RNA". It matches the Rfam family "Bacterial small subunit ribosomal RNA", at positions 29 to 507 of the family's 1533-position model. The record is from RNAcentral.
AGCGAACGCUGGCGGCAGGCCUAACACAUGCAAGUCGAACGGAACCUUCGGGAUUAGUGGCGGACGGGUGAGUAACACGUGGGAACGUGCCCUUUGGUUCGGAACAACUCAGGGAAACUUGAGCUAAUACCGGAUGUGCCCUUCGGGUGAAAGAUUUAUCGCCAUUGGAACGGCCCGCGUCUGAUUAGCUAGUUGGUGAGGUAACGGCCCACCAAGGCGACGAUCAGUAGCUGGUCUGAGAGGAUGAUCAGCCACACUGGGACUGAGACACGGCCCAGACUCCUACGGGAGGCAGCAGUGGGGAAUCUUGCGCAAUGGGCGAAAGCCUGACGCAGCCAUGCCGCGUGAAUGAUGAAGGUCUUAGGAUUGUAAAAUUCUUUCAGCGGGGACGAUAAUGACGGUACCCGCAGAAGAAGCUCCGGCUAACUUCGUG